UCGGCAUCAAAUGAGUACGGUGUGUAAACAUCGCCACCGGGGAGACAAAGGCGGCCGGGCGUGGUGUGAGCCACCCCACCCACACCCGAGGAUCGGCGAGCGGGGCCGCCAUCGCAAAUUGCCAGCCCUCGCAAACAACAGCGGUCGGUAAGUAAGCUCUUGACUAUGCAUAUAUUAUUGUUGUGUUACAUAUAGAUUUUAUAUAUCAGGUAUGUAGCCUUCUCUUUGUGCCCGGCGCUUAAGGGCUGCAGUUUUUGAUAGCGGCAAGUUUGAGUAACUCACGUGUACAGUAUUUUGGCAGGACAAAUGCUACUGUACUAACAUGCGUGGAAAUAUCACAGAAUCGUUUUGCGCGUUACCCCCUCCCCCCACCUAUAGGUUCACUCAAUGUUUAUUUUACUUUCUAUCGAAAACAAGUGUUAAGAUAAGCGUUUAAAAGUCAAACUUAACCAAGUCGUCAAUUUAAGUGUCUUUUGUACAUUUAUGUUCGUAGGUUUGAAUAUAUUCUGUCUAGAUUCGUUGAUAAAGAAUGCAACCUUCUCUGGCUACUAUUAGCCCUCUUGUAGAAUUGUGUUUCAAACGAUUACCCUCGCUUGCCUGACCCGUCACGGCUCUGAGAAAUAAAUGUAUGACUAAUGGACAUCAAUGUUAACCAGUUGUCCAUUUUGUGAGGUAUCCCUAACUAGCCAGUAACUUGUAAGCGGAUAAAAAAAUCAACGGCGUAAUUUGUUCGCGCUCGCUGGUUACUUUUGGAAACAACAUUGUUGAUAAUUAAUUUAGAAAGGUCUUUUAUACCGAUCUAGGUCACGAUAUGGACUUCGAUGUUAGCGUGGCAGAUUCAUACGUGAUUAUUCACCAGUGACUCAUGUUUGCUAUAAUUUCACACAUUUAUAAAUCACCUCACGUACCCCCCCCCGGUUGCGAACCACUGGCCUAGAGAAGCCAUUAGUGACAGACAUUACCAUCACAUCGACAGUGAGGAUGGCUUUAUGAGACCCAAGGCGACAUGAAAUGCACAAAAGACGUUUGAACUGCCAAUGUGUUCUUUGCGCGGCAUUGACCUGCAAGGCUGUGAGCCUGAAAUCGGUGAAAUAAUGCAAAACGAUCCCACCCAGUUGUCGCGUCAUUGAAAAUGACCCUGAAGAAGAAUGCAGUCGUGUAUUUUGACGGUACACUAUAUGAAAUGCACAAUCGAUGAUUCAUCUAGAUGAAGGGUGAGCAGUCAGAUUCAUUCCCUCACCCAUGUUAACAAUGUUGGUCUACCGCACCGACUGUUUGCUCUCAUGUACACAGCGCACAGCGAAUGACUUGGUGUUUCUACUUUGGCAGUGGUACACAAGCACAACAACAAAUACAUGGACGCAUUCGUCAAUAACACUGGCUUCUUCCAGGAUAAAAUAUGGACAGUAAACCCUCUCAAACCACAAGGGUUAUGUUCUUGAAAACGCGCGCGAAUGCAGAAACCUUGUUGACCAGGAAAAAUGGGGUUACGUUCCUGGCACGAGUGAACAUAGGGGGGAAUAGUAAAUGUUUAAUACCACUGACUACAAUAAAUAAUAAAAUAUGAAUGACAAUUCGUUUUGAUUACCUUUCAUGAUGAUUUGAUGACAAUGGAGAUGGUGAGGAAUUCAGGUGGACGACUCAUCGGGAGAUGCAGGUGUUUGAUAACAACAACGCACAGUUAUCAUUUUAGCACUCGAGAGCACGUCUGUGAUAGGCCGACAUUUUGGCGUGGACUGUGAGAUCCAUCAAGAAUGAGGCGAAUGCAAUCGGGGAAAGUGUUGCGGCUAUCGCCACCCAGUGCUGUGUUCUCUUAUCAAUAACUUAUCACAUUUUUACUGUGAACAAGAUUUCUACAUAUUCUUGGUUCUUUCGGUAAAGUCACGUUGAAGGGAAACAAUAAGAUAUAAAUAUAAAACAAUAAAAUUCUUGCGACGUUUCGACUGCAACACAAGGCUGUAACCCUCGUGAAUAGAGAAGGUUUACUAUAUUGGCAUAGUCACUCUGGUUUGUCAGUGCGUCGUCAGCCGCGAGCCGGUGGGUGGUGUCAGGGAAAGCUGUCCCAGGUAGUCCAGGAAGCCGGUAACAUGACUUCUAUGAUUUCAUGGGUGCCACACAUUUCUAUUUACAGCGAUGUUCAAUGUACUGCUGGAUCACGGCUUUCCUACUAGAGCUCCUUCUACUGGAGGCCCCUUCCACCAACAGUGACAUAUCCAGACUACUACUUCUACCCCUCGGUCUGCUGUUGUUCCUUGUCCUUGAAGUUUACAAUAUUUCCAUUGCCAUUAUAAACAAGGUGAAUAUUUUUCUCCAUGUUUCAUUUUUGUAACUAUUUGACCAGAUGGUGUCAGUAAAUACAAGUGAUAGCAAGGAACUCGCAUAAAAAGGCAGAUUUAGCCACUUCACAGAGCUUCAUAUAGGGAAAAAAAUACACCGCAUUCCCAUAUUUAUUUAAUAGUGGACUGACCUAUGUUUGGGAACUGGAAAAGUGGGUCAAGUCGGGGUUCCCACGGCAGUGGGGCACGAGGUCAAGAAAGCUGUGAUCGGGCCACUCGACCUGCUUUAGCAUGGAUGGAAACAGUGGUGACUUCAUAGUAAACAUUUUCAAAACAUUGAGACAACCCAAACAUAAGUUCUUUAUAUAUUUUUUUCAUGGAUUGUUGCCUUCCAGCCAUGCAGGGGAUGGCAGGGAAGGGGUUUAAUCCAAGUCAAUCAAUCUUCUUGGGAGAAGAACCAAGCCAAUCAAUUCGAGGAACAGCGCAGCUUGCGUCUCGUUUGUCAUCGCAGAGACGUAGCAUCAGUUUGCUUUUAGGACAGCGGUGAGGAACUUACGGCCUGUGGGCAACAUAUUGACCACAAAUUAAUUUUAUAUGGCUAGCAGCCACAUGACGCUGACCACUUCAAAACUACCCACAAAUCAUACUUAUCCAUAACGGCAAGCAUCUUAGCCUCACUUAUCCGGUGCUGCAGGGGAAUAUUUUUGACCGGGAAACACUUUCUAAUUGUAGCACACUCAAUCAGUGCAGUCUUUGUAAUGCUUGGUCAGCGUGCACUUUGUUUUCCCUGUUAUUUUAUAUAGCUAAGGUGUGUGGUGAUGUGUAGCCUGCCAAAGUUAUUUGAGAGCUCUUAAUUGGUGUUUCAUAAAGAAAAGGUUCAAUAUGAAAUCCAAAUGUAGACCUUCAGGGUCGAUAUCAAGGCUUUUAAUCUGUUGCUGGUCUAUAACCAAUUGCCUUGAAUGCAUCUGAUCUCAGAAGCGAAGUAGUGUUGAGCCUGGUGGAUGGUGCUUGAAAGAGCACCCACCACAGCAGGUUCUUUAGAAGAAGCUGGAGUGCUGCGUGAUUUGCAGCAGAGGGCAGUGCAGCAACAUCCAUUUCCACGCUCCCACAUCUAUAUACUGGAAGCCUUCACUAACCUGCACCGACUAGCCUGGUGAAGUAUGGUCAAUUAACUCACACGACCCCCACUUUGUGUGGAGGUCCUCAUCCAGCAGAAAAAGUUGGAAAGGGUUACAAAUCUAUAUUCAUAUUUUGUUGUAUCCAUGUUUAUUACAUGAUAGUGCGUGCCCCAUUCAUGUUCAAACUGCAUACUUUGGUAAACAUGCAAAUAAAUGUGUUUCAUCGCACAUUUAAUUCCAUUGAGCAAUGGCCAUUUCACAUCGGUAAUUAAAAACUGUCCCGAAUGUACCUUAUUUAAUACAUACAGUACCUCAUGGCUUUCAAUGUGAACCGUUACAGGAAGAACGCUUAUGAAAUGGAUAAGAAUUGUGAUGAAAUUCAGUCUUCAGCUACGUGCCAGAGCAACGAUCUAAAUUAGACCAAUUUAAUGAAUGGCUGCAACUCUUUAAGGUAAGUUUAUAUCACUCCACGGGUCUCUUCUGACAUAACUGUGGUGUUUAUGAGCAGGGUGGUGUGUAAAGUUUUCGCAUUUGGCUCAUCCAUUUCUCUGCAUAAGCAACCACCCUGCUGUGGAGGGAGUCAUAUUUCAUUCCCAAUUGUGAUGUUCACCUUUUAACCAAACUUACAUGUAUUAAGCCAAUCCACAGUUUCUGAAUGAAUGUAUUUCUGUGCUUAAUGACCAGCAAGGGUGCUUUCUUAAUACUACGAGGGGAAGCUCCUAUCUUUUACUGUUUUCGUAUUCAAAUUUGAACAUCAUAAUGUGUCCGAAAUAUGUAAAAAAAACAAUAAAAGAUGAAACAAUGGUUCUCGAUUAAAUGUUAUUUGAUGUUUAAUGCUCUAUCAAACGAAAAAAACGCAAUCUUAUAUUUUGAACGGUUUCUGAAUGACAAACAUUUUUAGGGGGUACUUUUAUGGGGCCUUCAAAUGAAAAAUCUCAGAUUCUCAUAUUUCCUGUCAUUUGUCCUCAAAGCUACCUUUGUGCCUAAUUUCAGAUGUUUACCAUGUCGAGAAGUACCCUCGAGGUUUUUGAGACAUGCAGAUUAAGGUCUUUAUAUAGAUAUUUUAGUGCAAUCAUUGAUCUCUAGGUUGCAACCAUAAACUCACUACCUUGAGAACCUAGAUUUAGUUAAAGGCAUUAAAACCCAGGAUCUGAGUGGUGUUAACUCAACACUAACAUCUGCGUCAUCUCGUUUUCUAAUUUAAUUUGUAAAUUUCCUGAACAUGAUCCUUAAUAUCUACUCAGGAAUGGUGCUCUGUAGCCAUAUAUCUAUCCAUUUUCAAUGAAGAGCAUUACCAACAUUGCUGUUGGAUGCUCACGUUUUUCUUAAAGUAAAACAUUGACAAUUACUAUGAUUAGUUUUAGCACGUGCAUUAUUUUGCGUGUCUUUAACGGUGCACUUAAUAUUUUAUACCACAAUUCACAUUUCAAAGACCGUUAAUGAGUAAAUAAAAAAAAUGUUCUUUGCUUAGGUCCUUGGUUACCUUGAACACCUAUGAUCUGCUCGAAAGAAUACUGCAUGGUCUGGAUACAUCCUUAAGGGCAAAGCAACAAUAACGUUGAGCAACGUUCAGAAGAAUGAAAGUGGGGAAUAUAUUUUCCAAAAAACACUUCCAAAACCUUGCAGUGGUGAAAGAUAAUAUAAUUCUUGAUGUAAAUCCCAGAGAAAUGUAUUUCGUCAACAUUUGUCAUCCAAACCUCCUCCAACUGCCCACGAUGCCCCCCGGAUACCCCUCAAACAUACAGGCAUGCCUUUUGGGAAUGUCCAGACAUUAACAAGUUUUUUCAAAUCAACACUUGCUACUUUAACCACAUUCACAAAACGAGCGUCUCACCCUCACCAGACACAUCCCUAUUGAGGUUGAAACCUCAAGGCCUUUCCAGGGGGGCAAAUACAUUACUGUAUUCCAAAUGUUCAAUGUUAUGGCAAAACGCACCAUUACAGCCAACUGGAAAGAGCAUGCUCCCCCAACAGUGCAGGAAUGGGCCAAUAAACUUUCAAAAUUUGCCACUAGAGCAUCUAAGUGCCAAACUCAGAAGCUUACCACCAACCAUGGAACCCUUUCACGACCUCUCCUCCAGUGGACAUUGAUUCUUAAGAGUAUUCAUUAGGACAUUUAGGCACUUCCCCCCCUACCUUUUUUUCCUACAGGGGUAUCAGAGCUUAGGAAGACUGGGGUUGUCGAUUUUAUUUAAACAUGUAGUUUAGACAGGUUUCCAUUGAACUGUAAUUCGUAACGUGUGUUUGUACUGGUGUCAACCCCCUUUCACAUCCUCUGUACCUGAUAUCGUUUUGUUGAUUAAAUACUUUUGGGGGGAAAAAAAUCGAGCCAUCUACGCUCCUUCAUACUGGGGUCAACAAGGGUCCUUGGCACAAUCGGCAAAUACGAAAUCCACAAACUCUGAGGCAUAAGAAAAUUAGGGUUUGAUUUGUAAUACGACAACUGCUCAUUUUGUUUUAUGUUACCCUACAUUAACCCAACCAUGGAGCGGGAAGUAUUUAUUUAAAUGUAAAAUAUGAUUAAUAUGUUUUUAGUGUAAUGUCUAGUGCUGUACUGUACACGCUAAAGUAAAUAUGAAAAUUAAGAUGAGGAGGUUAAUAACAUGUACUUUUUUUGCAGUUUAAAACAUGAACUAAAAAUACUUUUACAUACUAUGAAAGAUGAUUUCAUGUGUAUUUCAUGGUCUCAUCAUCGGGAGCAGUGCAGUUAGAGUAUAGUACUUGUUUAUGAUGCAUAAAGGAAUCUCAUGGUCAACUGUGGAUGGUCAAGCCACAGGGGCACGAUGGGCAAGCUAUACCUCAAUAAAUUUGGCAACGGUCAAAUCCGCGAAGGCUGAAAUUAGAGUGGGCAAA
Petromyzon marinus (sea lamprey) is the source of this 6247-nucleotide non-coding RNA. Lineage: Eukaryota; Metazoa; Chordata; Hyperoartia; Petromyzontiformes; Petromyzontidae. The record is from RefSeq and is a predicted model, not a curated record.